CUCCCACCUGCGUUCACUUUCAUUUCGCGUGCGGGUUUGUCACCCAAACACUCGCCCCAAUGCUUGACUCCUUGGUCCGUGUUUCAAGACGGGUCGCUGGUGGCCAUUACGCCAGCAUCCUUGCCCGAAGGCGCGGUCCUCGGCCCCCCCAGAGGCAUGGCGCCGCGGGCUAUAACACUCCCGAAGGAGCUACGUUCCCGCGGCCUUUGUCCCCCUGGGAGAGCCGAUGCUGGCCUGCGCCGCCGCGGCGUGCCCCGCCGCAGAGCGACGGGUGGUCCGCGGGGCGCACGUCUGGCCACAGGCGCUUCCCUUUCAACAAUUUCACGUGCUGUUUAACCCUCUUUUCAAAGUGCUUUUCAUCUUUCGAUCACUCUACUUGUGCGCUAUCGGUCUCUGGCCGGUAUUUAGCUUUAGAAGAAAUUUACCUCCCAUUUUGAGCAGCAUUCCCAAACUACUCGACUCGUCGAAGGAGCUUUGCACGGGCUAGGCGUCCGACCGUACGGGGCUCUCACCCUCUCUGGCGUCCUGUUCCAAGGAACUCGGAAGGCGCCGCGCCCAAAGCAUCCUCUCCAAAUUACAACUCGGGCCCCCCAGGGGGGAGCCAGAUUUCAAAUUU
This 616-nucleotide ribosomal RNA is filed under the name Raffaelea subalba. RNAcentral describes it as "partial 26S ribosomal RNA". The record is from RNAcentral. Lineage: Eukaryota; Fungi; Ascomycota; Sordariomycetes; Ophiostomatales; Ophiostomataceae.